RNAcentral lists this ribosomal RNA (375 nucleotides) under uncultured bacterium. RNAcentral's name for it is "bacterial SSU rRNA". It matches the Rfam family "Bacterial small subunit ribosomal RNA", at positions 30 to 410 of the family's 1533-position model. The record is from RNAcentral.
AUUGAACGCUGGCGGAAUGCUUUACACAUGCAAGUCGAACGGCAGCACGGGGCAACCUGGUGGCGAGUGGCGAACGGGUGAGUAAUACAUCGGAACGUGCCCAAUCGUGGGGGAUAACGUAGCGAAGUUACGCUAAUACCGCAUACGAUCUACGGAUGAAAGCGGGGGAUCGCAAGACCUCGCGCGAAUGGAGCGGCCGAUGUCAGAUUAGGUAGUUGGUGGGGUAAAGGCUCACCAAGCCAACGAUCUGUAGCUGGUCUGAGAGGACGACCAGCACACUGGAACUGAGACACGGUCCAGACUCCUACGGAGGCAGCAGUGGGGAAUUUUGGGACAAUGGCGCAAGCCUGAUCCAGCCAUUCCGCGUGCAGGAUG